This is an RNA transcript of Betta splendens (Siamese fighting fish), 2768 nucleotides long. It is a transcript of the gene named spermatogenesis associated 6, with no coding region annotated. NCBI's taxonomy places the organism in Eukaryota, Metazoa, Chordata, Actinopteri, Anabantiformes, Osphronemidae. The record is from RefSeq and is a predicted model, not a curated record. The transcript has 14 exons.
CUGCUGGCGAACAGCCGAGGGCUCAUCCCGCGAUUGGACGGUGAUUGGCUCCUUGUGGGUCACGUGACUGGACAUCCGCUCCGCCGCUGUUGCUGUCGGGCAGCUAUGACAACGUCGUUUAAAUGCUGCUUGAAUGGCCUCCCAGCAGAAGAAGAAGAAGCAGCAGCUUCACUCCGCCGGACUGCGGCAGAAGUGUCUGAAGUGCACCGUGCGUCUGGACGUGCACGCAGUCACGUGUCCUGGAGUGCUUCUGUCUAAGCAAAAUGAUGUCUACCUCAGUGUGCGCAUCAUGGGCCAGUACAAGAAAACUCCCCAUUUGCCUCCUGUCUUCCCACUACUCUUCCACCACAAAAUGGUCUUUGUCAAGAUUUUCCCCGGUGUUGUUGACCCUGCUGAUGUGGCUGACCUCCUUGAAGCUGACAUAGCAUCUUUUGAGCUGAUUCAGUUGGUGCCUCCAGAAGGUGAGAUACUAGCCACGAUGGAGGAAAACAGCAGAGAUUGCCUCUACCCCGGCCCCAGAUUGGGUAAUAGGGAAGGAGCAGCAGAGAGAGAAGCACUAAUGAAGAGGUCCUCUUCCUUUCCUGGAAUCUCCCCCAAAGUGGAGUUUGCCACAUCAUCAGUCAUAGAAGAAUGUCAUUGGAGAGACAGCCGACCUGCUUCAUGUACUUGCUGCCUUUCUCCUGUGGGACCGUCUUUAAGCCCAUGCAGACAAUGUUCAACAAACUGUGUCUCUUUGAAAUGUGGAAAAGAAAGACAAGAUGCUGAGACUGUGUUUACACAGUCUGGGCCGCCACCGUCCUCAUCUAGAGCCUCUCCUCCAUCCACACGUGACCGCCGUCCUCAGAAAAGCAAGAAGGAAAAGAACAGCAUUUGUCCUAAAGUUUCUGCGGACGCUGGCUACCAGCAGCCCACAGUUACCUCUACAGCACGAGCCCUGUCUCCUUAUACUCACCGCAAGAUGUGCCAGCUUUCAGAGGACGCGCGGCAGAGACUGGGCCACCUCCAGCUGGGCCCUCACCACUUCAGGAAGGAGCUCAGGAGCCAGCCACCCUUCUUAGUCUCGCGUUGCAGUAACGUGUCUUGGAUGGGAACUCCUUCCCCCUCUUUCCAGAGUGGCUGCCCUCGUCAUCACUCCAUUAGCCCAUUAUCUGAACACACAGAUUCUUGUCUCUUGGGGAGCUACAGACCAAGAUUAAGCAGAGUGAAGGCCCAGGAGUCUCCAGAGAGACCGUCCAGACAUGAACAGACCAUGUGUCCUGUGAGGGGCACUGCCUCAGCUCAGUCUACCCUGGUUGUGUCAGACUCCAGAAGUCCUCUGAAUCUCAGCAGCCGUUCCCUGAGAGAUAGCCUGAGUCUGAUGCAUUUGACCCGAUGCACGCUUUAAUACAUUCAGAGAGACCUUGUCAUCGAUCACAGCGGCUGUAGAAGCAGCGCCUCCUCUGUCUUAUGUUGGGUUACAGCACAGACUAGUGGACAAAAGAAAAGGAUCAGGAUCAAUCUUGAUGGCUUCAGACCAGUCAGUCCAGUCCAUCCUACUGGGAGGAGAUUCACCACAGAGUUCAGAAGAUUCUACAGACUCACAGAACCACCAGGGAACAAACGAAACAGUAACUUAACCCUGCGAUGGCCUGGCGACUUGUCCACUGAACCUAGCCUCUUGACCGACUGUCAGCUGAGAUUCGCUCCAUCAUGCUCACGACCCUUGCAAAAAAAUAAGUGGCCAAGAUAGUGAUAUGGUGCUAUUUUAUACUGCAGGACAACCUAUAUUAAUGUUUAGUUUAAGUAUUAGAAACUUUUAAGCCAUUGAAAAGAUUUUCAAUAAUGUAUUGAAUUACAUGUAUUUAAUUACAAUGAAUACUGCAAAACAAGAUGUUAAAUAGAAUUUGACUAAUUAAUGUUGCAGUUAAAAAUACUGUAAGCAUGUUCACCAUAAUUACUGAUCCUUGUACAAAGUCUUUUUUAAUCACUUAGUCACUUUUAGUCACUUUUUAAUAGCAUAGUUGGAGAAUUAACAUCUUUGUCAUACAAUCUAUUUCAUGUACAUAAACUCUGUUUUGAGAUCAUGCUUUAUGAAAGACCAGGAUUCAGUUUCUUGUAGUCAUGGUUAAGUCACAAAAAUAUAAUCUAUGCUCCAGCUGAUGACAACCUUUUUCUGCUUAAAGCACUGAAGUCUCUAAAAAAUUCCCUCAAACUUAGAUUUUAUCACAGGAAUUGUUGAGAUUCAGUUCUUUUUAAAUUUCUUCUUGUUCUUGCUCUUGUUUUUGUUUUUGUUCUUCUUGCCGGCAGCCUGCGCCGCUGUCUCCAUCAGAAUGUGCUGGAAUUUCUUCUUGUUUUUACUGGGGAAAAACAAACAUGUCUUUACUUUUCAAGUACUGAUGAUUUUGGUGUUACUUUACAAAAAAAAUGUAUCAUGUAAUAAGCCAAGAACAAGUGAACCAGAAGACAGGAAACACUACAGAUAAGAUCAGAGCAGCAGGGCCCCGUUCCUGUUUGUCUGAAUGUCCCUGACAUGACACCCAUGAGUGUCAGUACCUCACAUUAGUUAAACCUCAGUAUAAUCAGCUAGAAGGGUGACUGAGUGUUUGUUUCUCCCAAGUCAUUUGCUGAAGCCACAGCAGAUGACCAGUAAUACGGUAUAUACAUAAUUUAACUUACUGCCUGAACUCAGCAUCAGCCAGCAGCUCCUCCACCAUGGUUCUUUUCCUCUGCUUCUUAGGAACACGGGAAUGAUAGAAGUCGACCGGGCUGUCCACCACUGUGCCAACCUG